GAUGAACGCUAGCGGCAGGCCUAACACAUGCAAGUCGAACGGUAACAUUGGUUGCUUGCAACCAGAUGACGAGUGGCGCACGGGUGCGGAACGCGUAUCGAACCUGCCCCCUUCAGGAGGAUAGCCCAUGGAAACGUGGAUUAAUACUCCAUAGUACCUAACCGUUGCAUGACGGGUAGGUUAAAGAUUUAUCGGAAGGGGAUGGCGAUGCGUACCAUUAGCUAGUUGGUAAGGUAACGGCUUACCAAGGCAACGAUGGUUAGGGGCCCUGAGAGGGGGAUCCCCCACACUGGUACUGAGACACGGACCAGACUCCUACGGGAGGCAGCAGUGAGGAAUAUUGGACAAUGGUGGGAACACUGAUCCAGCCAUGCCGCGUGCAGGAUGACUGCCCUAUGGGUUGUAAACUGCUUUUUUAUACGGGAAGAACCCGGGUACGUGUACCCGGCUGACGGUACCGUAAGAAUAAGGACCGGCUAACUCCGUG
This 487-nucleotide ribosomal RNA is filed under the name uncultured bacterium. Its description in RNAcentral is "bacterial SSU rRNA". It matches the Rfam family "Bacterial small subunit ribosomal RNA", at positions 28 to 507 of the family's 1533-position model. The record is from RNAcentral.